CCUACGGGGGGCUGCAGUGGGGAAUAUUGGACAAUGGGGGCAACCCUGAUCCAGCCAUGCCGCGUGUGUGAAGAAGGCCCUCGGGUUGUAAAGCACUUUCAGUGAGGAAGAACGCCUGGUGGUUAAUACCCAUCAGGAAAGACAUCACUCACAGAAGAAGCACCGGCUAACUCCGUGCCAGCAGCCGCGGUAAUACGGAGGGUGCGAGCGUUAAUCGGAAUUACUGGGCGUAAAGCGCGCGUAGGUGGCUUGAUAAGCCGGUUGUGAAAGCCCCGGGCUCAACCUGGGAACGGCAUCCGGAACUGUCAAUCUAGAGUGCAGGAGAGGAAGGUAGAAUUCCCGGUGUAGCGGUGAAAUGCGUAGAGAUCGGGAGGAAUACCAGUGGCGAAGGCGGCCUUCUGGACUGACACUGACACUGAGGUGCGAAAGCGUGGGUAGCAAACAGGAUUAGAUACCCUUGUAGUC
This 465-nucleotide ribosomal RNA is filed under the name Vreelandella stevensii. RNAcentral's name for it is "partial 16S ribosomal RNA". It matches the Rfam family "Bacterial small subunit ribosomal RNA", at positions 338 to 795 of the family's 1533-position model. Lineage: Bacteria; Pseudomonadati; Pseudomonadota; Gammaproteobacteria; Oceanospirillales; Halomonadaceae. The record is from RNAcentral.